This 242-nucleotide ribosomal RNA is filed under the name uncultured bacterium. Its description in RNAcentral is "partial 16S ribosomal RNA". It matches the Rfam family "Bacterial small subunit ribosomal RNA", at positions 92 to 334 of the family's 1533-position model. The record is from RNAcentral.
UGAGCGGCGGACGGGUGAGUAACGCGUGGGUAACCUGCCUCAUACAGGGGGAUAACAGUUAGAAAUGGCUGCUAAUACCGCAUAAGACCACGGUACUGCAUGGUACAGUGGUAAAAACUCCGGUGGUAUGAGAUGGACCCGCGUCUGAUUAGGUAGUUGGUGGGGUAACGGCCUACCAAGCCGACGAUCAGUAGCCGACCUGAGAGGGUGACCGGCCACAUUGGGACUGAGACACGGCCCAA